This 253-nucleotide ribosomal RNA is filed under the name uncultured bacterium. RNAcentral's name for it is "partial 16S ribosomal RNA". It matches the Rfam family "Bacterial small subunit ribosomal RNA", at positions 524 to 776 of the family's 1533-position model. The record is from RNAcentral.
UACGAAGGGGGCUAGCGUUGCUCGGAAUGACUGGGCGUAAAGGGCGCGUAGGCGGUUUGUAGAGUCAGGCGUGAAAUUCCUGGGCUCAACCUGGGGGCUGGGUUUGAUACGUAUGAGCUUGAGUUCGGAAGAGGGUCGUGGAAUUCCCAGUGUAGAGGUGAAAUUCGUAGAUAUUGGGAAGAACACCGGUGGCGAAGGCGGCGACCUGGUCCGAUACUGACGCUGAGGCGCGAAAGCGUGGGGAGCAAACAGG